AGAGUUUGAUCCUGGCUCAGGACGAACGCUGGCGGCGUGCCUAACACAUGCAAGUCGAACGGCCCGCCCCGUUGGAUCCCUUCGGGGAGAAGAUGGGUUCCCGGGCAGUGGCGGACGGGUGAGUAACGCGUGGAGAACCUGUCUCUCAGUUGGGGAUAACCUGGCGAAAGUCGGGCUAAUCCCGAAUACGCUCUCAAGGUGGCAUCACUUUGGGAGGAAAGGUGCUUUCGGGCAUCGCUGAGAGGUGGCUCCGCGUCGGAUUAGCUAGCUGGUGGGGUAACGGCUCACCAGGGCGACGAUCCGUAGCUGGUCUGAGAGGAUGAUCAGCCACACUGGGACUGAGACACGGCCCAGACUCCUACGGGAGGCAGCAGUGGGGAAUCUUCCGCAAUGGGCGAAAGCCUGACGGAGCAACGCCGCGUGAACGAAGAAGGCCUUCGGGUCGUAAAGUUCUGUCCUCAGGGAAGAACCCUCAUGGGAGGAAAUGCCCAUGAGCUGACGGUACCUGGGAAGGAAGCCCUGGCUAACUACGUGCCAGCAGCCGCGGUAAUACGUAGAGGGCAAGCGUUGUCCGGAAUUACUGGGCGUAAAGGGUACGCAGGCGGAUAUAUAAGUCAAAUGUGAAAGGCACCGGCUCAACCGGUGAGCGGCAUUUGAAACUGUAUAUCUUGAGUUCAGGAGAGGAGAGCGGAAUUCCUGGUGUAGCGGUGGAAUGCGUAGAUAUCAGGAAGAACACCAGUGGCGAAGGCGGCUCUCUGGCCUGAAACUGACGCUCAGGUACGAAAGCUGGGGGAGCGAACGGGAUUAGAUACCCCGGUAGUCCCAGCCGUAAACGAUGGACACUAGUGUUGGGGGUUCGAAUCCUCAGUGCCGAAGCAAACGCAUUAAGUGUCCCGCCUGGGGAGUACGGUCGCAAGACUGAAACUCAAGGAAUUGACGG
RNAcentral lists this ribosomal RNA (940 nucleotides) under uncultured bacterium. RNAcentral's name for it is "bacterial SSU rRNA". It matches the Rfam family "Bacterial small subunit ribosomal RNA", at positions 8 to 916 of the family's 1533-position model. The record is from RNAcentral.